UUAAUACUGGAUAGAUCAAAGAUACUGGAGUGUUCUCUGGUCUAAAGCUCCGGCGCCCAAGGAUGGGUCUGCGGCCUAUCAGGUAGUAGUGGGUGUAGCGUACCUACUAGCCUGCGACGGGUACGGGUUGUGAGAGCAAGAUCCCGGAGAUGGAUUCUGAGACAUGAAUCCAGGCCCUACGGGGUGCAGCAGGCGCGAAACCUUUACACUGCGGGAAACCGCGAUAAGGGGACCCCGAGUGCCAGCACCUAGUGCUGGCUGUCCCGCUGUCCAAACAACAGCGGUUAGCAAGGGCCGGGCAAGACCGGUGCCAGCCGCCGCGGUAACACCGGCGGCCCGAGUGGUAGCCGCUAUUAUUGGGUUUAAAGGGUCCGUAGCCGGCCUGUUAAGUCUCUUGGGAAAUCUGGCGGCUCAAUCGUCAGGCGUUCA
This 429-nucleotide ribosomal RNA is filed under the name uncultured archaeon. RNAcentral describes it as "bacterial SSU rRNA". It matches the Rfam family "Archaeal small subunit ribosomal RNA", at positions 146 to 576 of the family's 1478-position model. The record is from RNAcentral.